Molecule: ribosomal RNA, 510 nt
Filed under: Triticum aestivum (bread wheat)
Lineage: Eukaryota; Viridiplantae; Streptophyta; Magnoliopsida; Poales; Poaceae
Description: partial small subunit ribosomal RNA
Source: RNAcentral
AUGUGCUUCUCCCUCCCUUGCCCCAGAGACCCCUUCAACGAUCGCCACGGCAAGAAGCGCAAGACCGAAGAUGCCGCCGACACCAACGACGACCACAAGAAGAAAAGCAAGGGUUCCAAGAAGCAAGAGCGGGCCGGCGUGGGAGACUCCUCCACCGGCGCGGCGGUGCUGGGGGUGGUGGCGGCGAGGAGGGGGUGCCAUGAGUGGGUGGUGGACCAGUACAGCAACCAGCGCAACGUGGGGGCGUUCGACAAGGACGACACCGACGUCGGCACCGGCAUCGUCGGCGUGCCCGCUUGCGGGGACGUCAUGAAGAUGCAGAUCCGCGUCGACCAGGCCUCCGGCAGGAUCAUUGACGCCUGCUUGAAGACCUUCGGCUGCAGCUCCGCCAUUACAUCCUCUUCCGUCGAUGAUCUUUCGACCAUGAAGAUGGUAGUUUCUGCCACAUUUUGGAUAUUGAUUGGACACGCUUUAUAUAAAACGAUUUAUCUUGUACAUUGCUCUGCCUAA